GAUGAACGCUGGCGGCGUGCCUAAUACAUGCAAGUCGAGCGAACAGAUAAGGAGCUUGCUCCUUUGAAGUUAGCGGCGGACGGGUGAGUAACACGUGGGUAACCUACCUAUAAGACUGGGAUAACUUCGGGAAACCGGAGCUAAUACCGGAUAACAUUUAGAACCGCAUGGUUCUAAAGUGAAAGAUGGUUUUGCUAUCACUUAUAGAUGGACCCGCGCCGUAUUAGCUAGUUGGUAAGGUAACGGCUUACCAAGGCGACGAUACGUAGCAGACCUGAGAGGGUGAUCGGCCAAACUGGAACUGAGACACGGUCCAGACUCCUACGGGAGGCAGCAGUAGGGAAUCUUCCGCAAUGGGCGAAAGCCUGACGGAGCAACGCCGCGUGAGUGAUGAAGGGUUUCGGCUCGUAAAACUCUGUUAUUAGGGAAGAACAAAUGUGUAAGUAACUGUGCACAUCUUGACGGUACCUAAUCAGAAAGCCACGGCUAACUACGUGCCAGCAGCCGCCGUAA
This 513-nucleotide ribosomal RNA is filed under the name uncultured bacterium. Its description in RNAcentral is "partial 16S ribosomal RNA". It matches the Rfam family "Bacterial small subunit ribosomal RNA", at positions 28 to 523 of the family's 1533-position model. The record is from RNAcentral.